RNAcentral lists this ribosomal RNA (643 nucleotides) under uncultured bacterium. RNAcentral describes it as "bacterial SSU rRNA". It matches the Rfam family "Bacterial small subunit ribosomal RNA", at positions 232 to 885 of the family's 1533-position model. The record is from RNAcentral.
CGCGGCCUAUCAGCUUGUUGGUGAGGUAACGGCUCACCAAGGCAACGACGGGUAGCUGGUCUGAGAGGACGAUCAGCCACACUGGGACUGAGACACGGCCCAGACUCCUACGGGAGGCAGCAGCAGGGAAUAUUGCACAAUGGGCGCAAGCCUGAUGCAGCGACGCCGCGUGAGGGAUGAAGGCCUUCGGGUUGUAAACCUCUUUCAGGAGGGAAGAAGCGAAAGUGACGGUACCUCCAGAAGAAGCCCCGGCCAACUACGUGCCAGCAGCCGCGGUAAUACGUAGGGGGCAAGCGUUGUCCGGAUUCAUUGGGCGUAAAGAGCUCGUAGGCGGCUCAGUAAGUCGGCCGUGAAAGCCCGAGGCUCAACCUCGGGACGCCGGUCGAUACUGCUGUGGCUAGGGUCCGGUAGAGGAGAGUGGAAUUCCUGGUGUAGCGGUGAAAUGCGCAGAUAUCGGGAGGAACACCAGUAGCGAAGGCGGCUCUCUGGGCCGGUACCGACGCUGAGGAGCGAAAGCUAGAGGAGCAAACAGGAUUAGAUACCCUGGUAGUCCUAGCCGUAAACGUUGGGCACUAGGUGUGGGUUCCAUCCACGGGAUCCGUGCCGUAGCUAACGCAUUAAGUGCCCCGCCUGGGGAGUACGG